Molecule: ribosomal RNA, 274 nt
Filed under: uncultured bacterium
Lineage: Bacteria
Description: partial 16S ribosomal RNA
Rfam family: Bacterial small subunit ribosomal RNA
Source: RNAcentral
AUACGGAGGGUGCAAGCGUUAUUCGGAAUCACUGGGCGUAAAGGGUGCGUAGGCGGUUUGAUAAGUCUGAUGUGAAAUCCUAUGGCUCUACCAUAGAACCGCAUUGGAAACUGUCAGACUAGAAUACUGAAGGGGCAGAUGGAAUUAGUGGUGUAGGGGUAAAAUCCGUAGAUAUCACUAGGAAUACCGAAAGCGAAAGCGAUCUGCUGGGAAGUUAUUGACGCUGAGGCACGAAAGCGUGGGGAGCAAACGGGAUUAGAUACCCUAGUAGUCC